Molecule: ribosomal RNA, 368 nt
Filed under: uncultured bacterium
Lineage: Bacteria
Description: bacterial SSU rRNA
Rfam family: Bacterial small subunit ribosomal RNA
Source: RNAcentral
AUACGUAGGGAGCGAGCGUUAUCCGGAUUUAUUGGGCGUAAAGCGUGUGUAGGUGGUUGAUUAAGUCUAAAAUUAAAACCUGAGGCUCAACCUCAGAUCGUUUUAGAAACUGGUCAACUUGAGUAUAGUAGAGGCAAGUGGAAUUUCUAGUGUAGCGGUCAAAUGUGUAGAUAUUAGAAGGAACACCAGUGGCGAAGGCGACUUGCUGGGCUAUUACUGACGCUGAGGCACGAAAGCGUGGGGAGCAAAUAGGAUUAGAUACCCUAGUAGUCCACGCCGUAAACGAUGAGUACUAAGUGUUGGAAUUAUCCAGUGCUGAAGUUAACGCAUUAAGUACUCCGCCUGAGGAGUACGGCCGCAAGGCUAAA